AACGAACGCUGGCGGCAUGCCUAACACAUGCAAGUCGAACGAGACCUUCGGGUCUAGUGGCGCACGGGUGCGUAACGCGUGGGAACCUGCCCUUAGGUUCGGAAUAACUCCCCGAAAGGGGUGCUAAUACCGGAUAAUGUCUUCGGACCAAAGAUUUAUCGCCUUUGGAUGGGCCCGCGUUGGAUUAGCUAGUUGGUAGGGUAAAAGCCUACCAAGGCGACGAUCCAUAGCUGGUCUGAGAGGAUGAUCAGCCACACUGGGACUGAGACACGGCCCAGACUCCUACGGGAGGCAGCAGUGGGGAAUAUUGGACAAUGGGCGAAAGUCUGAUCCAGCAAUGCCGCGUGAGUGAUGAAGGCCUUAGGGUUGUAAAGCUCUUUUACACGGGAUGAUAAUGACAGUACCGGGAGAAUAAGCUCCGGCUAACUCCGUG
RNAcentral lists this ribosomal RNA (433 nucleotides) under uncultured bacterium. Its description in RNAcentral is "partial 16S ribosomal RNA". It matches the Rfam family "Bacterial small subunit ribosomal RNA", at positions 29 to 507 of the family's 1533-position model. The record is from RNAcentral.